CGGCAAACAUAUAAGAUAUUCCAUCAUACAAACAAUGACAAUUGGCAAGUUUAAAUAUCUUAAGUUUAGAAUAAAAACCUACCUCUAUAAUGUCCUCAGGCAAUAAGAAAAUCGAGCAUCCAAGUUUUCGGGCUACACUUAUUAUAUAGGUAGCAUUCAUCUUCUUAUCCUCAUCUGCAAAUGCCAGUAACAAAAAGUGAGGCAAUCUUAAAGCUUCAUGUAGAGUGUAUCAAACUAAUUGUGUAUAUAUGUUCAAUUUAAUGCUCCUUUGAAAGCCAAUUAGCCCAAGCUCAGCACAUUUCCCCUUUUAUUAUGGGUAAAGUGCAAGUUUUAAAAAAUAUAGAUCCUACAGUAGGGAAAAAUAAUAAUGACAUAC
This 376-nucleotide unclassified non-coding RNA is filed under the name Hevea brasiliensis (rubber tree). Lineage: Eukaryota; Viridiplantae; Streptophyta; Magnoliopsida; Malpighiales; Euphorbiaceae. The record is from RNAcentral.